Molecule: long non-coding RNA, 334 nt
Filed under: Elaeis guineensis (African oil palm)
Lineage: Eukaryota; Viridiplantae; Streptophyta; Magnoliopsida; Arecales; Arecaceae
Description: long non-coding RNA (EGUI_LNC028912)
Source: RNAcentral
UCCCCUCCAUCAUCAUCCUCUGUGAGACUCUGCAACCCCCCAUCCAAAUCACUAUCAUCUCAGCCUGUUAAAUCCAUCGAUUGUUCUCUCUAGCUAUCUUUUAUCCAGCAGUUUAAAUCCAUAAUUCAAAUGGAAUGACCAGAAGAUUUGCUCUUAAGAUGGAAUGACCAAAAGAUCCGCUCUCCCUCUUAAAUCGGUCGCUAUCACCCAACAAGUAGGUCCUGCCAUCCAGCUCAUCAUCCAGCAAGUGGAUUUCAAACAUGUGAUUCUUUUUUUUCUUUUAAAUGUAAAAUAUAUCAGCUAUUGGUAGGAUCAGAUGGCAGACAGGACUGGC